AUUGAACGCUGGCGGCAUGCCUUACACAUGCAAGUCGAACGGCAGCACGAGUGCUUGCACCUGGUGGCGAGUGGCGAACGGGUGAGUAAUACAUCGGAACGUACCUUAUCGUGGGGGAUAACGCAGCGAAAGCUGUGCUAAUACCGCAUACGCCCUGAGGGGGAAAGCGGGGGAUCGCAAGACCUCGCGCGAUUAGAGCGGCCGAUGCCUGAUUAGCUAGUUGGGGGGGUAAAAGCCCGCCAAGGCGACGAUCAGUAGCUGGUCUGAGAGGACGAUCAGCCACACUGGGACUGAGACACGGCCCAGACUCCUACGGGAGGCAGCAGUGGGGAAUUUUGGACAAUGGGGGCAACCCUGAUCCAGCAAUGCCGCGUGAGUGAAGAAGGCCUUCGGGUUGUAAAGCUCUUUUGUCAGGGAAGAAACACCGGCUCUAACACAGUCCGGGAAUGACGGUACCUGAAGAAUAAGCACCGGCUAACUACGUGCCAGCAGCCGCAGUAA
This 501-nucleotide ribosomal RNA is filed under the name uncultured bacterium. RNAcentral's name for it is "partial 16S ribosomal RNA". It matches the Rfam family "Bacterial small subunit ribosomal RNA", at positions 29 to 523 of the family's 1533-position model. The record is from RNAcentral.